Molecule: ribosomal RNA, 753 nt
Filed under: uncultured archaeon
Lineage: Archaea
Description: bacterial SSU rRNA
Rfam family: Archaeal small subunit ribosomal RNA
Source: RNAcentral
AGUCAACAUGCCCAGGGGACGUGGAUAACCUCGGGAAACUGAGGAUAAACCACGAUAGGUCAUCACUUCUGGAAUGGGUAAUGACUUAAAUCUAUAUGGCCCCUGGAUUGGACUGCGGCCGAUCAGGCUGUUGGUGAGGUAAUGGCCCACCAAACCUGUAACCGGUACGGGCUCUGAGAGGAGGAGCCCGGAGAUGGGCACUGAGACAAGGGCCCAGGCCCUAUGGGGCGCAGCAGGCGCGAAACCUCUGCAAUAGGCGAAAGCUUGACAGGGUUACUCUGAGUGAUUUCCGUUAAGGAGAUCUUUUGGCACCUCUAAAAAUGGUGCAGAAUAAGGGGUGGGCAAGUCUGGUGUCAGCCGCCGCGGUAAUACCAGCACCCCGAGUGGUCGGGACGUUUAUUGGGCCUAAAGCAUCCGUAGCCGGUUCUACAAGUCUUCCGUUAAAUCCACCUGCUUAACAGAUGGGCUGCGGAAGAUACUAUAGAGCUAGGAGGCGGGAGAGGCAAGCGGUACUCGAUGGGUAGGGGUAAAAUCCGUUGAUCCAUUGAAGACCACCAGUGGCGAAGGCGGCUUGCCAGAACGCGCUCGACGGUGAGGGAUGAAAGCUGGGGGAGCAAACCGGAUUAGAUACCCGGGUAGUCCCAGCUGUAAACGAUGCAGACUCGGUGAUGAGUUGGCUUAUUGCUAACUCAGUGCCGCAGGGAAGCCGUUAGUUUGCCGCCUGGGGAGUACGGUCGCAAGACUGAAACUUAA